GGGAGAAAUAAUAUAGCUGGGGGGAAAUAAUAUAGCUAGAGAGAAACAAUGUAGCUAGGGAGAAAUAAUGUAGCUAUGGAGAAAUAAUGUAGCUAUGGAGAAAUAAUAUAGCUAGGAGGAAAUAAUAUAGCUAGGGGGAAAUAAUAUAGCUAGGGAGAAAUAAUGUAGCUAGGGGAGAAAUAAUGUAGCUAUGGAGAAAUAAUAUAGCUAGGGAGAAAUAAUGUAGCUAGGGAGAAAUAAUGCAGCUAGGGGGAAAUAAUGUAGCUAGGGAGAAAUAAUGUAGCUAGGGAGAAAUAAUGUAGCUAGGGAGAAAUAAUAUAGGUAGGGGGAAAUAAUAUAGCUAGGGAGAAAUAAUAUAGCUAGGGAGAAAUAAUAUAGCUAGGGAGAAAUAAUAUUGCUAAGGGGAAAUCAUAUAGCUAGGGGGAAAUAAUAUAGCUAGGGAGAAAUAAUAUAGCUAAGGGGAAAUAAUAUAGCUAGGUAGAAAUAAUAUAGCUAAGGUGAAAUCAUAAAGCUAGGGGGAAAUAAUAUGGCUAGGGAGAAAUAAUAUAGCUAGGGAGAAAAAAUGUUGGUUCUGUUGGAGCUUGAGGAAGGAAGUGUUCUCUGAUUCGUUUUAUUUGACAGUGUUUCUAAAGUCAGCAAAAAAAGAAACGUCCUCUCACUGUCAACUGCGUUUAUUUUCAGCAAACUUAACAUGUGUAAAUAUUUGUAUGAACUGUGGCAAAGAAGGGGGUCGAGUGAUAAAUGGCAGAUAUGUGAGGGCAGAACUAAUAAACGGGCUCUGCCCGAUCACUAAAAUGGCCACCCCGAUCAGAACUACAGGUCACAAAAUGGCCGACUGCCAAAACUACAAUUCCCAGAAGCAAGGGGAACCCUCAGAAGGUGGAGCCGAC
RNAcentral lists this long non-coding RNA (890 nucleotides) under Salmo salar (Atlantic salmon). Its description in RNAcentral is "lncRNA (ENSSSAG00000084679.1)". The record is from RNAcentral. Lineage: Eukaryota; Metazoa; Chordata; Actinopteri; Salmoniformes; Salmonidae.